CCCUUGCCUGCCCCAUCGGAGCCGCCGGAGGUGGAGUCCGCCUCCGGGACCCCCGAACUCCUGUGCGUGCCCCUCCAUGGUGCUCUAGGCUGUGGAGGGCAAGGCCAGUCCCCGGGGGCAGGGUGAGGAAGGGGCCCCCAUGCAGCCCUGCUGCGGAUUGGCGGGAGGACCCCAGGCUGGGCCAACCCAGCAGCCCCCGGCCAGGAGCGGGCAUCCCAAUGGGGAAAUCGGCCAGGAGGGGCUGGGGAAGCUGGUGCCUUCGCCCGCGCCCCGUGAGCUUUACCUCCGUGCGACAAGAGCGGUGGCUCCGGGCGGGGCCCACGCAGCUGGAGCCUCCAUCUCUCCUGCGGGACCAGAGCACCGGGAAGACCUGACCGAGACCCAACGUCCCCGCCCCCGUUCUGGGGCUCUCUGCAGGCCCCAACUUCUGCGGGACUCUCCGGUGGGAGCAGCAAGGGUUCUCAGGAACAACCCCUAUACAAACCGGGACAGAGGCACCUCACUACUCCUUCUGUGCCCCACCUUCUCCACUGACCCUGCCGGAGUGCAGCACACACAGCAAGCAUUUAAUAAAUCGCUUGAAGUGGGGAACAUCUGUACUCGGUAAAGAAACCACAGGAAUUGGGAACUGCUGGUUGAAGAUUAUUUACCAGUUCCAGCAAAAUUGACUGCACCUGCCAUACUGCAGGCAGGUGCAGCAUCAGGAGCUGGCGACCAGGGGCAACAGGCAGCACGCGUGCUCCAGCUCAGAGUGGAAGGCCCUGGGAAAUGGUUUGAUUUCCUGCGCUGAACUGAUGCUGCUUCCAGAAUGAAUCUGCUCCUUGGUGGGUUCUGCUGAUGUGGCCAGUGCUAGCCUAGGCCACGACCACCUAGCCCACCACCCAGAAGGCAGCAUCCCCUGCUCCUGCUUUAACAACCUGGCCCAUUUUCAUCUCUCCUACCUCUGGGAGUAGCAGGGGCGCUCCCGGAAGCUGACACCCCCUCCACAGGUCCGGCUGCAGGGGCUCCACUGGCCCCAGGGUCCCCAGGUGUCACUCUGCCGCCUCACCUUGGGAGCCUGCAGAAGACAGGACCAUGCAUCAGCAUUGCCCACUCACAGCCUGAUCCCAGAGGCCCCUCCAAAGAUGCUCUGCCUAAAACCCUCCCCCACCCAUCAAGAAGUCUGGGAUUCUCCCUUCCAGGGCCCGCCUUUAGGACUCAGCAACACUGCCGGGCACCCCAAAACAUAUUCCUUUUCAGAAUUAGCCUGCUUUCCUCAUAAGGAGCUGAGAGCCAGGCCUGGAGGGCGGGAGCAGGAGCAGCUGGGAAGAGUUUGGAGUUUCAGGGGCCACUGGAGGGAGGGACCCUACAGCCAGGGGCAGUUUGAGGGUCCAGGCAUUUGUAGGUUAACCGUGAUGUAGGGAAGGGGGCCCUAAAAGAAAAUAAAGGGAAGCAACGUGGGGGGAUCCUGCUAAUCUGGCCGAGACUCCCAGGAGUACCCCAAUAUUCAUCCCCUCCUUCUCCCAGUACCCCAAUAUUCAUCCCCUCCUCCCAGUACCCCAAUAUUCAUCCCCUCCUUCUCCCAUUGUGAGAGAACGCUUGAAAACUUGACUCAGCUGGGUACCUGGCUGCCCAAAAUUAAAAAAAAAAUACAUUUCCUGGACUGCCUGCAGCUAACUGUGGCUACAUCACUUAGUUCUCAUCAGUGAGAUGUAAAUACAAGUGUUGGGCAGCUGCCGCAAAUAAUCUCAAGAGAGAGCCUGCGUGAGCCUUUGUCCUUUUCUCCUUCCUCCUGUACUCUUUCAGGCUGUCUGGGAAGCAGAUGUGAUGACUGGAGUUGGAGCAGCCUUUUAGACUGUGAGGUAACUUGGAAAUAGAGGCUUCAAACAGUGAAGCAAAGAUAGAGAGACUCUAGAGCCUGGAGGAUUUUGUGCAACAGAAUAGCCCCAGACUUCUGACCCCUGGGUGUUUAUAUGAGAGAGGAAUCAUGUCUGUCUUAUUGAAGAACUGUUAUUUGGGACUCUACACAGGAUUAUAAUCCUAGCAGGUACACUUUCCCACCAGAAAGAUUGGACCCCUUGCAGCUGGCGUCAGGAAUCCACAUGCCACACACACAUUAUCUCAUUUCAUCCUCACAACAACCCGACAGACCCCAUUGCAUGAAUAAGAAAAGUGAGGCAGAGAGAGAAGUGGGCACAGUAGCCGGCCAGCCUCACUGCAGUCCUCUGCUCCCCUGCCGAGGCUGUGCCCCCACCCACCUGGGGGAAUCAAAUGAGACACUAGAUGAUUCCCUACAGGGGUGGACAGGGAUUAGAUGUAACUUCACAAUUUUCCCAGGAGGCAUAUGGUGUACAUGCAAACAUUUGCUGGAAGGGGACUUUCUUUUAGGGUAUCACCACUUAAGACUCUCAAGGAAAAAUACCAUUCCCACUUUUCAGAGAAAGAGCUCAAUGGUCACAUAGAAAAGCAGCCGGGCACGGUGGCUCAUGCCUGUAAUCCCAGCACUUUGAGAGGCCAAGGCAGGCAGAUACCUGAGGUCAGGAGUUCGAGACCAGCCUACCCAACAUGGCGAAACCCCGUCUCUACUAAAACUACAAAAAAUUAGCCAGGCGUGGCGGCGGGUGCCUGUAAUCCCAGCUACUCGGGAGGCUGAGGCAGGAGAAUUGCUUGAACCCGGGAGGCGGAGGUUGCAGUAAGCCGAGAUUGCAUCACUGCACUCCAGCCUGGGCGACAGAGAGAGACUCCAUCUCAAAAAAAGAAAAGAAAAGCAGGCUCUUGCUUUCAUGGUGAUCCCUGAGCAGCUUCACUGAAUCUCAGGUGAGGAAGGACGUUUACUCAUCUCUAACAUCCCUGGUGCCAAACAUCUAGUUAUCCUUGUCUUAUAACAAAACCCAGAACACUGAAGCAGAACAAACCAUGCACAAACCACGCUAAGCCUGCCGAACCACACACAACCAAGAAGGAAGGGCUUGCCAGAUGAAAGGUCUUAGCUUUCACUUUGUAAAAUAUCUACUCCUUCAAGUCUAACUUGGACAAAAAUCUCUAAGCUUUCGAAACCACUGAGCCAAAAUAUCAAAGUUUUCUCUGAAUGAAAGUUAAACUGAAAUUUA
This 3089-nucleotide non-coding RNA is filed under the name Pan troglodytes (chimpanzee). Lineage: Eukaryota; Metazoa; Chordata; Mammalia; Primates; Hominidae. The record is from RNAcentral.